CUGAGUUCUAACGUGAUUUCACUGUGGUCUGAGAGACUGUCAUAAUUUCUGUUCUUUUGCAUUUGCUGAGGAGUGAUUUACUUCCCAUUAUGUGGUCAAUUUUAGAGGAGGUGUGAUGUGGUGCUAAGAAGAAUAUAUAUUCUGUGGAUUUGGGGUGAAGAGUUCUGUAAAUGUCUGCUAGGUUUGCUUGGUCCAGGUUUGAGUUGAAGUCCUGGAUAUCCUUGUUAAUUUUCUGUCUCAUUAAUCUGCCUAAUAUUGACAGUGGAGUGUUAAAGUUGCCCAAUAGUAUUGUGUGGUAGUCAAGAACUUGCUUUAUCUAUCUGGAUGCUCCUGUAUUGGGUGCAUAGUUAUUUAGGAUCAUUAGUUGUUCUUGUUGCAUUGAUCCUUUUACCGUUAUGUAAUGCCCUUCUUUUUCUCUUUUGUUUUUUUUUUUUUUUUUGAGACGGAGUUUCGCUCUUGUUUACCCAGGCUGGAGUGCAAUGGCGCGAUCUCGGCUCACCGCAACCUCCGCCUCCUGGGUUCAGGCAAUUCUCCUGCCUCAGCCUCCUGAGUAGCUGGGAUUACAGGCACGCGCCACAGUGCCCAGCUAAGUUUUUGUAUUUUUAGUAGAGACGGGGUUUCACCAUGCUGACCAGUAUGGUCUCGAUCUCUUGACCUCGUGAUCCACCCGCCUCGGCCUCCCAAAGUGCUGGGAUUACAGGCGUGAGCCACCGCGCCCG
Molecule: long non-coding RNA, 719 nt
Filed under: Callithrix jacchus (white-tufted-ear marmoset)
Lineage: Eukaryota; Metazoa; Chordata; Mammalia; Primates; Cebidae
Description: lncRNA (ENSCJAG00000077322.1)
Source: RNAcentral